Molecule: non-coding RNA, 3436 nt
Organism: Aegilops tauschii subsp. strangulata
Lineage: Eukaryota; Viridiplantae; Streptophyta; Magnoliopsida; Poales; Poaceae
Source: RefSeq, a predicted model, not a curated record
UGUGGCCACCCCGUGGUCGGCCUCGACGAGCACGGCCUCGAUCCGGCCUCAGUAGGAAAAUUGAGCCGAGGAGCGCGGCCUCGAUCGGGACUCGGCAGCUCGGGCGGCGAUGGAGGAGGGGAAAGGAGGGGAGCAGCGGCCAGGUGUCCAGGAGGAACUCGCCUGCCGACUUUGAGAAGAAGAGAUGACAGGUGGAGGUGGGAAAAAUUGCGCUAGGAGGAUGAGGCGUGGGCAUGUUCAACUUAAUUAAUGCGCCUUUUAGCCGUGACUUUUGCCCAAACUUUUGAAAGGAGCGAGCUGAUCUCUCUAUCAGUUCAGGUGGAUGAGCCGUGUCCCGUGUUCUAACGAGUUCAUCUAUGAGGGCGUUGUUCCUUUGUUCUCCCGCUGAAGGUUUGCUCACUUCCUUCUACAUAGAUGCUCCAUUAUUUCUUUUCUUACGUAGUUCUGUUUUGUGGAAUGGCAAACGCUAAAUUCUGCAAUGGUACUUUCUGUCCUAUGCUUAUGGUCAAGCAUUGUGUUAGAUUUUUCCUCUGGUUUUCUAAACAUGAAGUGUACAGAUCUGAGGAUGAAGAGAAUAAGAAUUUAGCUAAAGAGGUGAAGAAGAUCAAGGUGGUUUUACUCCCUCUUUUGAACAUUUGUUCUUGCAUUUUGAUGCUAUAAUUUGUUUCGCUUAAAUAGUUACAGAUGUUUGCACUUAUAAGAUCUUUGCUACUAGGUACAAAGGUUAUAGUUAUUGAAAUUAGGUAAAAGAGAGUUGUAGGUUCGAUUUUCAAUUACGGUAGUUGAUGUGUUAUGUUUGCUGCAAUGUGUCACAUGUGUUUGAGAGAGAGAGGGAUGGAAAAGAGGUGACUGUAACAGGUGGAGAAGAAAUUUAUUUGUUGAUUCUCCAAUCUGAUAGAAAUAGUCUCACGAAUGUUUAUUUACUUAGUGACCACACAUUGAUAUCUUCUUAUGUUGGUAUGUUUGUAUUCAGAAAUUGAAUUUACUUCUUUUUGCUUUUGUGUACCCAUUGGAAUCGAGAAGUUGGCAUGAUGGACAUGUCGGUAGACAUGCUAAACAAGUGGCUGGAGUCGGACAGUGCUACUAACGACGGCCUUGAGAUGCACUUUGUCGUUGGAUAUGAGGAGUAUUAUAUUCUUACCGAAGAGAAGUCAAUACCAGCCAUGUUAUACUUUCAGUGUGUUUGUUGGUUCCAUUUACAUACUUUCUCCAGCUCCCUUGAAAUCUCCCGGGAUUUAAUAAUGAGUUGUCUUGGGCUUCAUUGGACAAAUGAUCUACCUGGAGCAAUGAUACAAUCUAGGUUGGUAUUGAAGCCUGAUGGCGUUUUUCUUGCAACAAAUCUUGGCGGGGAGACUCUGAAGUGAUUAUGUCAAAUUUACCAUUUAUCGAAAUUUCCCAGUUUCUUGUUUGACUUGCCUUUUUUGGAUGCGAUGAUAAGGGAACUAAGAAUUGCGUGCACUAUUGCUCAAAUGGAACAUGAGAGAGGCAUCAGUCCUCAAAUGUCUCCUUUAGCACAAGUUUGAUUCCUUUAUAAUCCACGAUUUUACCCUUAAAGGAGUCGAUGUAGAUUGAUAUACAGUCAAGUACAAUAGUGGCGUGUAUCAAUAAACUUGAAUUUUCCUGGGUUUGAACUAAUAAAUCUAGACUAUGGAGGCGGGGGCGCCCAGCGGAGAGCAUAAAUCAGCUUUUUGCUUGAUCCCCUGCUCCAUCAUGGUGGAGUCUUCGAGCAGCUGCCUGAUUCUGAUGAUGUGCUACUGGCGGAGUUGCCGCAUGAGAUUGAAAAGUACAGGUGGUUGCGAAUCUCAGGAUUUGCGUGUCAGACUAUGACAUCCUUGCCGUCGAAGGCGGAAUCAUCUUUCCAGGAUAGGGCUAGUCGACGUAUAAAGUAAUUUGUGCCAUCAUCUUUGCCAUCCAUUUAUCUUUGUUAAGGAAUGUGAGAUGUUACUACUUACUAAUUCUGUAUGUUGUUUAGUAUUUGCAGAAGCAUUCUCAACUUUUCUUAUCUGUACUUUGUUUGGGCAGUAUUUACCCUGUCCUGAGAAUAGCAGAGAUAGGCAUGCCUAUUUCUACAGGAAAAUCAGCUUAACAUUCAUAUCUCAACUCCCUACACACUCUGACCAGACAUAAAAUUAAGCUUAGGUUAGCAAACCAAAAAAGGGCAUAUAUGGUUACCGUGUAGAGCAUGUGAGUAAAUGCACAUUGUUCAGUUCAUAUUCGAUUCCACUAGUUGCAUGGUGCAUGUUUUUUGUUGUUAGUUUCUUUGUAUGCUAGCAGAGUUCGAGUUCAAUAGUUCUUCAUAUUACGUAUUUGUUAUUCACCCUGGUACUGAAUUUCUUAAAAUACAUUGGUUCUAGUCUUGACUAUGAGCUGUUUUGCCAUGCUUAUAUCAGAGCUCAAAAGUAGAUGUCAUCAGCAAGUAGGCUAUACCUGUCAGUCUGAUUUAGCAUGUUAGAAUUGCUCACAACAUUUCUUUCGGCAUGUCAAUGAAAUGGCCCCUCCCGUUUUGAUGUUUAUUAUGUUUAUUGAAGUCCUCACCAUCUUUAUAUUCAUUACAUAUUCUCACUAGCUUAUUUCUUAAUACCUAAAGUGAAUACCAGGAGCUCAUUCUUACCUCUCCAACUUAUUCUUAUUUGAGUAUUAAGGGCACCUACAUUUCUUUGGUUCUGUAUGACUGAUCAAAUUAACACACACCUCAAUCAUAGUAAAAUCUGAAAGGAGAUGUAAAAGAAUCAAAGAAAAGUAGAGAUGCACAAUAUUUUUUGCUUUUGAGGGAUUGUUCUUGGGUUUAGCUUUUGCUGGCAUGUUAUUAUUACAGAGUUACCCUAUCUCUUUGAAUCGUCAUAUGUACUCCAGACUCUUAUAGAUUAUGCAACUAACUAAUGGUUGGAACUUUAAUACUUAGCUUUAUUUACAGGUAGCACAACCUCAUGUUAGGUGCCAUUUUAUUGCUACAGAUAUGGUGUUGUUUUGAUUGUAUAUGUGAUGAUUUUAUCCAUGUGUAUGUAUGUGGUCUUCAAAGUUGUUGAAAGAUUGAAAGCGCAAGCAAGCUCAUCAAAUUCCUUCGGUACUUCCAAAGAAAUCAAUAUCCAUCUGUCUAUGGAAAACUCGAAGAAGGCUCGACUGGCACAUGAAGCUCUUAAAUACUUGAGAGCCUUUUACAACAAGGUCCUACAGGACUACACCUAUGAUAGGUUGUAGUUGGUUGAACAAGGUCCUAUAAGACUACAUACAUAUAUUACACCGGUUGUCCCAGCUCAUAGUUGGUUGUCAUCAGUCCGGUUGGUUGAACAAGGUCCUAUAAGACUACAUACAUAUAUGGCUACAGAUAUGGUGUUGCCAUUUUAUUGCUACAGAUAUGGUGUUGUCCUGAUUGUAUACAUACAUAUAAUUCUGUAGUUUGUUCACGCCCGAAUAAUAUUAAUGUACACUCUUUCAA